AGUGUGCGUGUGAGGGUGCUGGUAGUGCCAGGGGUGCAGUGUGUGUGUGUGUGUGUGUGUGUGAGGGUGCUGAGAGUGUCAGGUGUGCAGUGUGUGUGUGAAUGUGUGAGGGUGCAGUUAGUGCCAGGGUGUGUGUGUGUGAGGGGUGCAGUGUCUGCUGUCUGUGAGUGAUGGGUGCAGUGUGUGUGAGGGUGCAGUGUGUGUGAGAGUGCUGUGAGUGUCAGUGGUGCAGUGUGUGUGUGAGGGUGAUG
Molecule: non-coding RNA, 251 nt
Organism: Pelobates cultripes (western spadefoot toad)
Lineage: Eukaryota; Metazoa; Chordata; Amphibia; Anura; Pelobatidae
Source: the annotation of a GenBank genome assembly